Molecule: small RNA, 989 nt
Filed under: uncultured Micromonospora sp.
Lineage: Bacteria; Bacillati; Actinomycetota; Actinomycetes; Micromonosporales; Micromonosporaceae
Description: bacterial SSU rRNA
Rfam family: Bacterial small subunit ribosomal RNA (bases 1-473)
Source: RNAcentral
GCCGUGAGGUGUUGCCUUAAGUGGCGCAACGAGCGCAACCCCUGUCCUUAGUUGCCAGCGGGUAAAGCCGGGAACUCUAGGGAGACUGCCGGUGCCAAACCGGAGGAAGGUGGGGAUGACGUCAAGUCAUCAUGCCCCUUAUGUCCAGGGCUGCACGCAUGCUACAAUGCGCGGUACAAAGGGCUGCGAUCCCGCAAGGGGGAGCGAAUCCCAAAAAGCCGCGCUCAGUUCGGAUCGGGGUCUGCAACCCGACCCCGUGAAGUCGGAGUCGCUAGUAAUCGCAGAUCAGCAAUGCUGCGGUGAAUACGUUCCCGGGCCUUGUACACACCGCCCGUCACACCACGAAAGUCGGCAACACCCGAAGCCGGUGGCCCAACCCCUCGGGGAGGGAGCCGUCGAAGGUGGGGUUGGCGAUUGGGGUGAAGUCGUAACAAGGUAGCCGUACCGGAAGGUGCGGCUGGAUCACCUCCUUUCUAAGGAACCAACUGCCUGUGUCCCGGCCAUCUAGUCAAUCGGCUUGGGCAAUUACACGGGGAGUUCCUACGUCGAUCACUGGUUAAUCGACCACACGGAAUUCGUCUCGACCCUCGGUCGCCCACCGCAUCCCCAGGGGAAUGUUCCUGGGAAGCGGUCACCGGCCGGGCACCACCGAGCGGCCCGUGAGGUCGGGCUUCACUGCUCUGUUGUGAGGGAACGUCCCGCGCGCCGGCCUUCGUGGCCGGCGCGUAUCGGCGUCCCUCCGGGAAAUGCGCGUGAUCCCCCGUGUGCCGUCGAGCCCAGCCUCCGGUGUGUGGUGGUGGUCGGGAGCGCUUCCCGACGCCUCCGGGCGUACCCCGUCCCUUGAGAACUGCAUAGCGAGCACGAGCAUCUUUAAAUCUCAAGCUAUGAAGAGCCAACGGUGGAUGCCUUGGCGCCAGAUGCCGAUGAAGGACGUGGGUGGCUGCGAUAAGCCACGGGGAGCUGUCGACCGAGCUUUGAUCCGUGGAUCU